GAUGGACGCUAGCUACAGGCUUAACACAUGCAAGUCGAGGGGUAACGAGAGGGAAGCUUGCUUUCCUUGUCGACGACCGGCGCACGGGUGAGUAACGCGUAUCCAACCUGCCCCCAACUAGGGAAUAACCUUGCGAAAGUAAGACUAAUACCCUAUAAUUUCCUCUGAUGUCAUCUGACGAGGACUCAAGAUUUCUCGGUUGUGGAUGGGUAUGCGUCUGAUUAGAUUGUUGGCGGGGUAACGGCCCACCAAGGCAACGAUCAGUAGGGGUUCUGAGGGGAAGGUCCCCCACAUUGGAACUGAGACACGGUCCAUACGCCUACGGGCGGCAACAGUGAGGAUUAUUGGUCAAUGGGCGGAAGCCUGAACCAGCCAAGUAGCGUGCAGGAUGACGGCACUAUGGGUUGUAAACUGCUUUUAUACAGGAAUAAAGUUAGCCACGUGUGGUUAUUUGUAGGUACUGUAUGAAUAAGGACCGGCUAAUUCCGUGCCAGCCGCCGCCGUAA
RNAcentral lists this ribosomal RNA (506 nucleotides) under uncultured bacterium. Its description in RNAcentral is "partial 16S ribosomal RNA". It matches the Rfam family "Bacterial small subunit ribosomal RNA", at positions 28 to 523 of the family's 1533-position model. The record is from RNAcentral.